This 1670-nucleotide long non-coding RNA is filed under the name Capra hircus (goat). RNAcentral describes it as "lncRNA (ENSCHIG00000001433.1)". The record is from RNAcentral. Lineage: Eukaryota; Metazoa; Chordata; Mammalia; Artiodactyla; Bovidae.
CAGGUUACCAUAUGGAAGUGCAGAUCCAAUGGGGAGAGAGAACGAGGUUCCCUUGUCCCAUUCUGCCCUGCAGUGCCGAGGCAUUAUAGAGUAAUCAACAGAAGCAAGUUGCUUUAGAUUCAGACAUUACCUGGAUUCCCAAUCUUUCAAUCCAUGAUACUUGGGCAGGUUGGAGAACACUCUAGACAGAGGAAAGCAUGGGAUGCUUUGAGACCACAAAGAAGAGGUGUGAAUACUAACUGAUAAUUACCAAAAAGCUACUAAGCAAAGAUGACACCUGUGCUGAAUCUUAACAGGUGAGUUGUCCAGGUGAAGCUGUAGAAAAGCCAUUCCAAGCACAGGGGAAUAAGAAGAGUUCAUAGAAUUGCAAAUAAUUCUUGGUAGAGUUUGGAGAGGGCUAAAGUGUUUGGACAUUCUCUGGUAGACAAAGGACAACCAUCAAAUGGCCAUUAGCAAGACAACUGUAUGAUUAAUCUUAGGUACUUCUGAAGGACCAAGACAUCAACUGGGGAGGAAAUUGUACUUUCAUUGCAAUUCUGUCCCAACAAGAAACUAUCUUCCCUUGAAUAAAACCUUCAAAAUUCUUGGCACCUCCCUUGGAUUCAGACAUUACAAACAGGAAACUCUACCCAUGAACUAACCUUCGCCCUGUCCUUUCCUGAAACAAAGAACAGCUGUUCUCCCACUUCCAUGUGUCUGGAGGAAAGAAGGGCCCCUGGUAUUCUCAGCUGACUUCAAAGAAAUGACUUGACUUUGUACAGAUCAGUCACAGGGACACACUGAUGACAUUUUAUUGUCAAUGUACUGAGACAUUUUAGUUUUUACAAGUAUUUGUCUGUGAUAGGGUGCAGUUGACACAGACAGAGGAUACACCCCGGAUCUUAGCUGCUGCAGAGAAAAUAUAAUUCAUUCCUUGGAACAGGGCCUGAACUCUGAAGAAAUUAAGCAGUAGGGAUGUGUUAAGUGCUCUCUCUCUCUAAUUUUUAGGACACAAGCCCAUGCACACAUCAGCCAAGCCUCUGGAACAGCUUCAGCUAUUGUUUAUGGUGUGGGGACUCCCAACUAUAGCUUCAUUGCUGGUGGCCUUAAUGUCUUUGAGCUCAUUAAGAACCAGUGCUGACAACAGGAGAUCUCCGGGCAAAUAAGGCUAUCGUAUUGUUAAAAAGGUCAAACACCACAAAAACCAAAGGACAAGUGCAAGCCUAAGCAUAGAUAAGUAUUUAUAGGGGAAAUUAAUUUCUUGUCUGAUGGCCAUGGACUAGGGGAUAGAGAAAACUGAGUCUUUCAUAUGUGAAAUUCAAUCUCUAUCAUAUCCUGAUACCUAUAAAACUCACCAUAUGAAGCUAAUAAUUGAUAUAUAAAACUAGUAUUUUCCAUUUUUUUCUUCUUUAUUUUGUAGGUUUUAUGUAUUAUAAAAAAACAUGAUUAAUUGUCAGUGGUUAGAUCUCUGGCUAGUUUUUAUUUCAGCUUUGGUUUCUCUUGCUAUAUUUCUCAUAAAAGGUAUUAAUGUGGAUUAAAUACAUUAAGUCAUGUGCAAUGGGAAGUUCCUCUUUUCUAGAGGUCUCAGAACAGGCCCAAUAGAGUUUAUGCCAAAAAGCCCACAUUCUGUAACGAGAUGGUAGCUUCGGGGACCCCAUAAUAUGGAAGUGGUUCUACCCAGGUAAUACCAC